This 1104-nucleotide ribosomal RNA is filed under the name Escherichia coli. RNAcentral describes it as "partial 23S ribosomal RNA". It matches the Rfam family "Bacterial large subunit ribosomal RNA", at positions 165 to 1307 of the family's 2925-position model. The record is from RNAcentral. Lineage: Bacteria; Pseudomonadati; Pseudomonadota; Gammaproteobacteria; Enterobacterales; Enterobacteriaceae.
CAUAGGUUAAUGAGGCGAACCGGGGGAACUGAAACAUCUAAGUACCCCGAGGAAAAGAAAUCAACCGAGAUUCCCCCAGUAGCGGCGAGCGAACGGGGAGCAGCCCAGAGCCUGAAUCAGUGUGUGUGUUAGUGGAAGCGUCUGGAAAGGCGCGCGAUACAGGGUGACAGCCCCGUACACAAAAAUGCACAUACUGUGAGCUCGAUGAGUAGGGCGGGACACGUGGUAUCCUGUCUGAAUAUGGGGGGACCAUCCUCCAAGGCUAAAUACUCCUGACUGACCGAUAGUGAACCAGUACCGUGAGGGAAAGGCGAAAAGAACCCCGGCGAGGGGAGUGAAAAAGAACCUGAAACCGUGUACGUACAAGCAGUGGGAGCACGCUUAGGCGUGUGACUGCGUACCUUUUGUAUAAUGGGUCAGCGACUUAUAUUCUGUAGCAAGGUUAACCGAAUAGGGGAGCCGAAGGGAAACCGAGUCUUAACUGGGCGUUAAGUUGCAGGGUAUAGACCCGAAACCCGGUGAUCUAGCCAUGGGCAGGUUGAAGGUUGGGUAACACUAACUGGAGGACCGAACCGACUAAUGUUGAAAAAUUAGCGGAUGACUUGUGGCUGGGGGUGAAAGGCCAAUCAAACCGGGAGAUAGCUGGUUCUCCCCGAAAGCUAUUUAGGUAGCGCCUCGUGAAUUCAUCUCCGGGGGUAGAGCACUGUUUCGGCAAGGGGGUCAUCCCGACUUACCAACCCGAUGCAAACUGCGAAUACCGGAGAAUGUUAUCACGGGAGACACACGGCGGGUGCUAACGUCCGUCGUGAAGAGGGAAACAACCCAGACCGCCAGCUAAGGUCCCAAAGUCAUGGUUAAGUGGGAAACGAUGUGGGAAGGCCCAGACAGCCAGGAUGUUGGCUUAGAAGCAGCCAUCAUUUAAAGAAAGCGUAAUAGCUCACUGGUCGAGUCGGCCUGCGCGGAAGAUGUAACGGGGCUAAACCAUGCACCGAAGCUGCGGCAGCGACGCUGAUGCGUUGUUGGGUAGGGGAGCGUUCUGUAAGCCUGUGAAGGUGUGCUGUGAGGCAUGCUGGAGGUAUCAGAAGUGCGAAUGCUGACAUAAGU